This 253-nucleotide ribosomal RNA is filed under the name uncultured bacterium. RNAcentral's name for it is "partial 16S ribosomal RNA". It matches the Rfam family "Bacterial small subunit ribosomal RNA", at positions 524 to 776 of the family's 1533-position model. The record is from RNAcentral.
UACAGAGGUCUCAAGCGUUGUUCGGAUUCAUUGGGCGUAAAGGGCUCGUAGGCGGUUUGUCGCGUCGGGAGUGAAAACACGGGGCUUAACCCCGUGCCUGCUUCCGAUACGGGCAGACUAGAGGUAUGCAGGGGAGAACGGAAUUCCUGGUGUAGCGGUGAAAUGCGCAGAUAUCAGGAGGAACACCGGUGGCGAAGGCGGUUCUCUGGGCAUUACCUGACGCUGAGGAGCGAAAGUGUGGGGAGCGAACAGG